UAAAUGCAAGUCGAACGGCAGCACGGGGGCAACCCUGGUGGCGAGUGGCGAACGGGUGAGUAAUACAUCGGAACGUGUCCUGUAGUGGGGGAUAGCCCGGCGAAAGCCGGAUUAAUACCGCAUACGCUCUACGGAGGAAAGGGGGGGAUCUUAGGACCUCUCGCUACAGGGGCGGCCGAUGGCAGAUUAGCUAGUUGGUGGGGUAAAGGCCUACCAAGGCGACGAUCUGUAGCUGGUCUGAGAGGACGACCAGCCACACUGGGACUGAGACACGGCCCAGACUCCUACGGGAGGCAGCAGUGGGGAAUUUUGGACAAUGGGCGCAAGCCUGAUCCAGCAAUGCCGCGUGUGUGAAGAAGGCCUUCGGGUUGUAAAGCACUUUUGUCCGGAAAGAAAACCUCUGGGUUAAUACCCCGGGGGGAUGACGGUACCGGAAGAAUAAGCACCGGCUAACUACGUGCCAGCAGCCGCGGUAAUACGUAGGGUGCAAGCGUUAAUCGGAAUUACUGGGCGUAAAGCGUGCGCAGGCGGUCCGCUAAGACAGAUGUGAAAUCCCCGGGCUUAACCUGGGAACUGCAUUUGUGACUGGCGGGCUAGAGUAUGGCAGAGGGGGGUAGAAUUCCACGUGUAGCAGUGAAAUGCGUAGAGAUGUGGAGGAAUACCGAUGGCGAAGGCAGCCCCCUGGGCCAAUACUGACGCUCAUGCACGAAAGCGUGGGGAGCAAACAGGAUUAGAUACCCUGGUAGUCCACGCCCUAAACGAUGUCAACUAGUUGUUGGGGAUUCAUUUCCUUAGUAACGUAGCUAACGCGUGAAGUUGACCGCCUGGGGAGUACGGUCGCAAGAUUAAAACUCAAGAAAA
RNAcentral lists this ribosomal RNA (861 nucleotides) under bacterium HR3(24)aut. Its description in RNAcentral is "bacterial SSU rRNA". It matches the Rfam family "Bacterial small subunit ribosomal RNA", at positions 52 to 909 of the family's 1533-position model. The record is from RNAcentral.